UCUUCUCCCCCGAUCCUUCCGCAUGCUCUCCAGAGACGGAGGCGGCGCCUUCGGCGAUGCUCCCGCAUCCGGCGGAGGUUGCGCUCGCCGGAGCAACGUGUGUGGGUCGACGCCCCACGCGCUCCUCCGUCUAGCGUGGACUCCGGAACCCGUAUUCCCUCGGGUGGAGAGCGGUGGCGACCGGCCGGCCUUCCACACGCCGGCGAGGGCGGUGGCUUUCCCACGCGCUGGAGCGACGUGGUGGCGGCGCCCUCACAGGCUGGGAUGGCCGUGCGGUUCCUUCCCGAGGGAAGGAUAGACGCCCCCAUGGCCCAUUCAUGGCGGCCGGCGGUUGAACAUGAGGCGACGACGGCGAGGAGCAAUCCAAGAUCCCACGCCGCCGUCCAUUAGGAUCAUUCAGCUUCCAGUAGUCCCAUGCCGGCAACAUGAUCAAGAAAAAUACUGGGUGGUAAGCCCUUGGUUAGCGGAUCCGCAAGCAUAUGAGUAGUGCUGGUAUGCCUGACAUCAAUGGUUUGAUCCUGGAUUCUAUCUUUCACAACAUGAUACUUUAUGUCAAUGUGCUUGGCAGCGGCACUUGACUUGUUGUUACUCGUAUAGAAAACUGCGGGUUCAUUAUCGCAGUACAACACCAGUGGUUUACAAAUGUUGUCUACCACUUUAAGUCCGGGAAUAAAAUUCUUUAGCCAUACAGCCUGCCCAGUGGCCUCAUAACAUGCUACAAAUUCUGCUUGCAUCGUAGAUGAAGCAGUCAAAAUUUGCUUGGAGCUUUUCCCCGAUCAGGGUGCGUUUCGUUGAGAUAAGGCCACGAACCUUGGUUCGUGGGCCCCACCCUUAUCCUAAUCCCUUCUGACUCGGUCUAAGCCAAGAUCAACCAGCAGUUUGUGCAUUCCCUUCUCCCUCUUUUUGUUUUGCCCUUACUAUUUUCUGUUCAUCAAAUGACUUUCUAUUCGAUUUUUUGUAAAGUAGAAGGUAACAAAUGUUGCAGAUUGAACAUUAUCUUAGUGUUAGGCAUCCUGUUGCAUAUCUCUUAAAUAAGUAUCCCAUCUACUGAAUGAUCUAUCUGCGGUCCGUCCUGGCAUUCAUUUGCUUGUCUCCUUUUGUGAUGAUGCAGCGGAUUGAGGAAUCAACGGAUGAUUUUUUUUUCUGUAUUACAUUUAGUUGCUCUUUGCAUGAUUCUUUUUUUUACCGGCUUUGCAUGAUUCUUUUGGCAUGGAUGUUGACUGGGAGAUGAAAAAUAUACUUCGUCCAGAUUGAAAAGACAAACAUGGUUCUCCUACUGUGCUCUGUUUUGUGCCAGCGUUGGGGACGACAAACAGGGUUCUCCUACUGAUUGACACCAUGUAAGCACUUAUCUAAUAUUUUCAUCAUGUUUUUUGCUUUUGUAUUCCGAAAUUUAUAUGCCCUCAUUUUCAGAGCACUCCAGCUAAAAGCACCUGCUGAGUAAGGACAAGGACUUAAACAAAUACAUAUAUGUUGCAUUUGCUCAAUUGACGAGUAGAAAGGUACCCGGUCCAAGCCAAAGAUAGUGCAUUUAAGGAGCCCUUGGUUAAUCGGUUCUUAUCCCACUAGAGAGACACUAUCUUGCUUCUCUAACUCUUUUUGCGAUUAAAUUAUAUGCAAGGGUUGCAUAGCCCAUAUUUCCAUAUUGUCGUAAUAACACCGAUAUACUGAUAACUAAACCCACUAGAGAGAAAUGUUUAUUAUAAAUGUUUUAAGUUUAAUUCGCUAAACAAUCUGAAAAUUAUGUACAAUCUGUAUAAGUUGAGAUAUAUUAGAAUAGUAUGAUGAGCUAUCAUAACGAUCCAUCUUAAUUAGGACCAAGACUUUACCUGGUUACCUAGGUUACCUGUAGUCAAAAUUGUUUAAGGCAAAUUGUAUCAAGGUUUGAUGGUUAGAUGGACACUCCAAUUGUUUCUGUUCAUAGAUCUAUCAUCUACAAAUACUUCUUGUGUUGCAGGUUCUGCCAUUGGUAGUGAUGGAAACAUUAUAAGAGCUAUGGCAAUCUUCGUAGAGUUCAAAUGUUGUGGUUUGAUACAGAACAGAAAACGGAAGUCUCUUUUCCUCUCAAGAUGAGAGUAAGUAUCGGCCAAAAAAAAAAUCUUCGCAGCGAUGCAAUUUUUCUUAUCACUCAGUCAUGAUGCAUAUAAGAGUAAGGGGAAUGGGCUGAUUUUGUGUAUAUUCUACAUUUUACUUUUCAGUAGUAAUUAGAUGAUUUAUGAUUUUCUUACAUCUCUUAAGGGAAGAUGUUGAGGGAGACCAUAAGGACACAACACAUUAUGUUGUGAAGAUAAUAUUGCUUUCAUGCUCUUAACACAGGACACUAGAGCAUGCAUUACAAAAUGGAUAUUCAAUGAGGCAUGGACGGCUGUCUUGAUGUGUUUAAUUUUGCAUUCUUUCCAAUAAUUUUGUUGGAGAACACGAGUGUCUUGACUUGUUUUGAUACUCCAACAUGGAUGCUUUGUGAUAUUUACAAUUGUGAGAAGAGGGUCCACGGCCAAGUUCUUCGAUAAUCGUUCAUGUGGAAUUUUGGAUUGUUUAUUGGUCCAUUGUAUUUUUUUUCUCUCAUAUUGUCACAAUUAUUGAUUAUAUGACUUGAACUAUGUACAUGUUCGUGAGCAGUGAUGUCUCCUUAUCCGAUGAC
Molecule: long non-coding RNA, 2641 nt
Organism: Brachypodium distachyon (stiff brome)
Lineage: Eukaryota; Viridiplantae; Streptophyta; Magnoliopsida; Poales; Poaceae
Exons: 2
Source: RefSeq, a predicted model, not a curated record